MicroRNA precursor from Medicago truncatula (barrel medic), 73 nucleotides. It matches the Rfam family "MIR5272 microRNA precursor family". The record is from Rfam. NCBI's taxonomy places the organism in Eukaryota, Viridiplantae, Streptophyta, Magnoliopsida, Fabales, Fabaceae.
UUGAAUGUAAAUUGAUUAUGUUUGGAUACACGUUAACAGAUGUGAUUCUUAUGAGUUGAUGUUGUUUGGAUAG